CCAGAGGAUCCCCUCUCUCUAGGUAUCCCCCUCUCCCAAAGCGGCGCUCAGCGGCCGCGCUCCCAUCUGCGCCCCUCCCUGCGCGCUUCGCAGCGACUGGGAGGAGAAAAAAGCGGGGGGGAAGGAAGGAGGGGAAAAAAAAGAGGGGGGGGAAAGGAAGGACUACAAGGCCCGGCAUGCCCCGGCGGUGCUGCACGGCUCCCCGGGGUGCCGGAUGCUGGCCGUGCCGCUGACAGCGGAGCGAAGCGGAGCCGCGGUCCCCGCCGCGCACGGAGAGAGGAGCGAGGGGCUGGGCGCGCCUGGCCGCCGGCUCUGCUCCCCCCCUUUUAUCCCAGCCCCCACAAAGCCGGGAGCGGCAGAAGGUGGCGAGCGGUGCCGAGGGCUCCGGGACCCCCGCGGCCGGCCAGGACGCAGCCCCGGCGGGCGGCAGGAGCCUCCCCAAGCGGGCGGGCUCCGAGGGGCGCGGAGCGCAGGAGCCGGCGGAUGGGAGCUCGGUCGGCUGCCAGCCCCUCGCACUGGAGAACGGUGCCAGCCCGCCAGCCGAGUGGUUCCCGCGUGCCCAGGGCUCCGGCCCCCGCCAGCCCGGCAGCGACGGCGACAGCAGGAGCCUCCGAGUGAACCUGCACUGCAAACACCCCCGGAACAGGUACCCGGGGGCCUCGCCCCAAAAACGGGGUGCAGCACCAAGGAGGGGUUGGCGGCACACCUUGCUGUCGGUGUUCUGUCCAUCCCUGUCUGGGAGAUACAGGGCGAGGGGGGAUCCCCGGCUCUGUGCAGCCUCCCGGCUUGGGAUUUUGGGGUGAACAGAGGGGCUGCAGCCCCUGUGCAGGGGGCACGUGGUGCCCGGCACCCAUCCGUGAGCGCCCGAGCCACCCCAC
RNAcentral lists this long non-coding RNA (878 nucleotides) under Lonchura striata (white-rumped munia). Its description in RNAcentral is "domestica (Bengalese finch) lncRNA (ENSLSDG00000016500.1)". The record is from RNAcentral. Lineage: Eukaryota; Metazoa; Chordata; Aves; Passeriformes; Estrildidae.